GACGAACGCUGGCGGCGUGCUUAACACAUGCAAGUCGAACGGAAAGGCCUCUUUCGGGGGGUACUCGAGUGGCGAACGGGUGAGUAACACGUGAGUAACCUGCCCUUGACUUUUGGAUAACUUCAGGAAACUGGGGCUAAUACCGGAUAGGAGCUCCUGCUGCAUGGUGGGGGUUGGAAAGUUUCGGCGGUUGGGGAUGGACUCGCGGCUUAUCAGCUUGUUGGUGGGGUAGUGGCUUACCAAGGCUUUGACGGGUAGCCGGCCUGAGAGGGUGACCGGCCACAUUGGGACUGAGAUACGGCCCAGACUCCUACGGGAGGCAGCAGUGGGGAAUAUUGCACAAUGGGUGGAAGCCUGAUGCAGCAACGCCGUGUGCGGGAUGACGGCCUUCGGGUUGUAAACCGCUUUCGCUCAUGACGAAGCUUUGUGUGACGGUAGUGGGUAAAGAAGCACCGGCUAACUACGUG
This 467-nucleotide ribosomal RNA is filed under the name uncultured bacterium. RNAcentral's name for it is "partial 16S ribosomal RNA". It matches the Rfam family "Bacterial small subunit ribosomal RNA", at positions 28 to 507 of the family's 1533-position model. The record is from RNAcentral.